This is a non-coding RNA of Adlercreutzia equolifaciens DSM 19450, 30 nucleotides long. NCBI's taxonomy places the organism in Bacteria, Bacillati, Actinomycetota, Coriobacteriia, Eggerthellales, Eggerthellaceae. The record is from Rfam.
CCCUUGGUCGGAAACCAAGGAAGUUAGGAG